CCAAAGGCUCUUUUAAGAGCCACCCAAUUGUUUCAAGGAAAGUAGCU
Molecule: regulatory RNA element, 47 nt
Organism: Cavia porcellus (domestic guinea pig)
Lineage: Eukaryota; Metazoa; Chordata; Mammalia; Rodentia; Caviidae
Rfam family: Histone 3' UTR stem-loop
About the family: The mRNAs of metazoan histone genes lack a poly-A tail. 3' end processing occurs at a site between a highly conserved stem-loop (modelled by this family) and a purine rich region around 20 nts downstream (the histone downstream element, or HDE).
Source: Rfam